GGGUGGUAAUGCCGGAUGUUCCACAUGAUCGCAUGUGAUUGUGGGAAAGAUUCUAUCGGCGUGGGAUGGGGUCGCGUCCUAUCAGCUUGUUGGUGAGGUAACGGCUCACCAAGGCUUCGACGGGUAGCCGGCCUGAGAGGGCGACCGGCCACAUUGGGACUGAGAUACGGCCCAGACUCCUACGGGAGGCAGCAGUGGGGAAUAUUGCACAAUGGGCGCAAGCCUGAUGCAGCGACGCCGCGUGAGGGAUGGAGGCCUUCGGGUUGUAAACCUCUUUUGUUUGGGAGCAAGCCUUCGGGUGAGUGUACCUUUCGAAUAAGCGCCGGCUAACUACGUGCCAGCAGCCGCGGUAAUACGUAGGGCGCAAGCGUUAUCCGGAUUUAUUGGGCGUAAAGGGCUCGUAGGCGGCUCGUCGCGUCCGGUGUGAAAGUCCAUCGCUUAACGGUGGAUCUGCGCCGGGUACGGGCGGGCUGGAGUGCGGUAGGGGAGACUGGAAUUCCCGGUGUAACGGUGGAAUGUGUAGAUAUCGGG
This 531-nucleotide ribosomal RNA is filed under the name Bifidobacterium bifidum. RNAcentral's name for it is "bacterial SSU rRNA". It matches the Rfam family "Bacterial small subunit ribosomal RNA", at positions 158 to 701 of the family's 1533-position model. Lineage: Bacteria; Bacillati; Actinomycetota; Actinomycetes; Bifidobacteriales; Bifidobacteriaceae. The record is from RNAcentral.